Long non-coding RNA from Nerophis lumbriciformis (worm pipefish), 436 nucleotides. RefSeq lists it as uncharacterized. NCBI's taxonomy places the organism in Eukaryota, Metazoa, Chordata, Actinopteri, Syngnathiformes, Syngnathidae. The record is from RefSeq and is a predicted model, not a curated record.
AACUUGGGUCUCCUACCUGUAGCUCACAACCUGCCAGUUUUAGGUUGUAACUCCUUCGACGCCGAAAAAAAAAAUUGCUUCACUUCUGUGCCGAUCGCAAACGGCGAUCCCCUCUGGCUGAUACUGUCGUGAACUGGCUUGUUGUGAAGUGUUUGCGAUUCCAAAGAUGUGAAGGACCUCAGACAGGCUGCAGUCUCUGCUGACACUCGUAAGCUCAGCGGCCACUUCCCUCUGAGAAGAUCCUGUUUGCAGCCUCAAUCACACUGAUGUUUGAUAUACGACAUCAUAAAUGGCAAUGGCCCAAGAGAUCGCCAAGGUGUCAACUUAGGACUGGUCCAAAGCCAGGUAAGAAGAGAGUGUGUGUGUGUGUGUGUGUGUGUGUGUGUGUGUGUGUGUGUGUGUGUGUGUGUGUGUGUGUGUGUGUGUGUGUGUGUGU